Molecule: ribosomal RNA, 465 nt
Filed under: uncultured bacterium
Lineage: Bacteria
Description: partial 16S ribosomal RNA
Rfam family: Bacterial small subunit ribosomal RNA
Source: RNAcentral
CCUACGUGAGGCAGCAGUGGGGAAUAUUUCGCAAUGGGCGAAAGCCUGACGCAGCGACGCCGCGUGAGGGAUGAAGGUCUUCGGAUCGUAAACCUCUGUCAGCAGGGAAGAACGGUCACUGUGCUAAUCAGCAGUGAAUUGACGGUACCUGCAAAUGAAGCACCGGCUAACUCCGUGCCAGCAGCCGCGGUAAUACGGAGGGUGCGAGCGUUAAUCGGAAUUACUGGGCGUAAAGCGCUCGUAGGCGGUAUGUCAAGUCAAGGGUGAAAUCCCCGCGCUCAACGUGGGAACUGCCUUUGAAACGGGCAAACUGGAGUGUGUGAGAGGAUAGUGGAAUUCCAGGUGUAGGAGUGAAAUCCGUAGAUAUCUGGAGGAACAUCAGUGGCGAAGGCGACUAUCUGGCACAUAACUGACGCUGAGGAGCGAAAGCGUGGGUAGCAAACAGGAUUAGAUACCCCAGUAGUC